RNAcentral lists this ribosomal RNA (250 nucleotides) under uncultured bacterium. Its description in RNAcentral is "partial 16S ribosomal RNA". It matches the Rfam family "Bacterial small subunit ribosomal RNA", at positions 99 to 354 of the family's 1533-position model. The record is from RNAcentral.
CGGACGGUGAGUAACGCGUGAGGACCUGCCUUCAGUGGGGACAACAGUUGGAACGACUGCUAAUACCGCAUAACGUACGGGUAUCGCAUGGUAUCUGUACCAAAGAUUUAUCGCUGAGAGAUGGCCUCGCGUCUGAUUAGCUAGUUGGUAGGGUAACGGCCUACCAAGGCGACGAUCAGUAGCCGGACUGAGAGGUUGGCCGGCCACAUUGGGACUGAGAUACGGCCCAGACUCCUACGGAAGGCAGCAG